Long non-coding RNA from Homo sapiens (human), 465 nucleotides. RefSeq lists it as uncharacterized. Lineage: Eukaryota; Metazoa; Chordata; Mammalia; Primates; Hominidae. The transcript has 3 exons. The record is from RefSeq and is a predicted model, not a curated record.
GUCAUGGCAGUAAUGAAGUUCUACCCAAGCUCCAAGGAGGUAAAAGCAGACCUCAGCCCUUCAAGAGAGGAGAUCAAGGAUGUUUAACUGAAAGCUGAAGAAUACACUCUGACAUUGUGAUAACAGUGGUGUGAUGAGGCUACAGACACUUGACCUUAGGCUGAUGACCAAUGCCUUCUAUGGCCCCAAUCACUGAGGGUGGAACACCAGCUCUGGGGCCAGGACACAGGUGACAUCUUCAUGCAGAAGACUGAAAGUUAUAGAAAUGAAUGAAUGAAGAGCAAGUAACCACUGGAGCACAGUAGGCAAGAACUCAGAUCUGAGAACUGACUGCCUUCCAUUCCACUUACUACCUUUAUAUGAACCUAGACACGCACCUAAAUUACCUCAUCUACAAAAUUAAGAUAAUAAUAAUCAUCACACCUCCCUAAUAUGAUGGUUCUGAACAUUGAAUAUCAUAUAGUA